UCCCUCCCUUAAACACACGGCUUCACCCCUCUAGUUUGCCCUGCUCCUUUUAUUGACGCGAACCUCCCGUUCUCGCGGGAACUUGGAAGCGGGAGCAGGGUAGGGUGGACAAAUCUCUCGAAAUCUCAGUUGGCGCUGGAGUUGGAGCGGCGGCCCGAGCUCCUGAGGGUCGGGGCGGGGCCUGGGACCUGGAAGGGGCGGGGCCUAAGCUCAGAGAGGGGAGGGAAGAGGCAGGAGGGGGAGUUGAGAAACACCAGGGGCGGGGCCGCGCGGCCGGGAACCUGUUGAUCGCAGGUAGAGCCCAUCGGCCGUGGCUCCCGCGGGACUGGGGCGACUGCGCAUGCUCGGUGGCCGCGCUGGGCCAGUCGCCGAGCCGCGGAGACGAACCGAGUCUUCGGCUGCGGUGGUUGCGGUUGCAGCGAUGGCGAUGUGAGGGGCCCCGGGGAGGGAUGGUGCUGACCUGGGUAGGGCCGUCUUCUUCCAAGCAGGACAACGAGCUCCUCCCCGCGACAGGCGGUGGAAGAGGCGGGGCCGGGCGAGAGGGCUGAAGAUCAGCUGGAUUAUGUAUUUCGUUGUGGAAUCUCAGGGCAGUCCACACACAGUAAUUUCUUCCUCAUGUUAUCUAAGUCAAGUAAGAAUUAAGUUUUUCUCUUUCUAUUUUACAACAAAAAAGCAAAAAAGUGUAGUCCCUUAUUC
RNAcentral lists this long non-coding RNA (696 nucleotides) under Dasypus novemcinctus (nine-banded armadillo). RNAcentral's name for it is "lncRNA (ENSDNOG00000052421.1)". Lineage: Eukaryota; Metazoa; Chordata; Mammalia; Cingulata; Dasypodidae. The record is from RNAcentral.